GGGUUGUGAGGUUAAGCGACUAAGCGUACACGGUGGAUGCCCUGGCAGUCAGAGGCGAUGAAGGGCGUGCUAAUCUGCGAUAAGCGCCGGUAAGGUGAUAUGAACCGUUAUAACCGGCGAUACCCGAAUGGGGAAACCCAGUGUGACUCGUCACACUAUCAUUAACUGAAUCCAUAGGUUAAUGAGGCGAACCGGGGGAACUGAAACAUCUAAGUACCCCGAGGAAAAGAAAUCAACCGAGAUUCCCCCAGUAGCGGCGAGCGAACGGGGAGGAGCCCAGAGCCUGAAUCAGCAUGUGUGUUAGUGGAAGCGUCUGGAAAGGCGCGCGAUACAGGGUGACAGCCCCGUACACAAAAGCGCAUGUGCUGUGAGCUCGAUGAGUAGGGCGGGACACGUGGUAUCCUGUCUGAAUAUGGGGGGACCAUCCUCCAAGGCUAAAUACUCCUGACUGACCGAUAGUGAACCAGUACCGUGAGGGAAAGGCGAAAAGAACCCCGGCGAGGGGAGUGAAAAAGAACCUGAAACCGUGUACGUACAAGCAGUGGGAGCCCCACCACCAAAGCAUUUGCUGUACCGCGUUGACGGAGCGAAGCGACGUCAAACCGAUAAAACAGCAGUGUAAAGUGAGCCGCAGGGCGCUUUGCGCGACAGCGCAAAGGCAGGCGGUUUCGCGUAGCGAAAGCGAAUGCUUUGGGGUGGGGUGACUGCGUACCUUUUGUAUAAUGGGUCAGCGACUUAUAUUCUGUAGCAAGGUUAACCGAAUAGGGGAGCCGGAGGGAAACCGAGUCUUAACCGGGCGUUAAGUUGCAGGGUAUAGACCCGAAACCCGGUGAUCUAGCCAUGGGCAGGUUGAAGGUUGGGUAACACUAACUGGAGGACCGAACCGACUAAUGUUGAAAAAUUAGCGGAUGACCUGUGGCUGGGGGUGAAAGGCCAAUCAAACCGGGAGAUAGCUGGUUCUCCCCGAAAGCUAUUUAGGUAGCGCCUCGUGAAUUCAUCUCCGGGGGUAGAGCACUGUUUCGGCUAGGGGGCCAUCCCGGCUUACCAACCCGAUGCAAACUGCGAAUACCGGAGAAUGUUAUCACGGGAGACACACGGCGGGUGCUAACGUCCGUCGUGAAGAGGGAAACAACCCAGACCGCCAGCUAAGGUCCCAAAGUCAUGGUUAAGUGGGAAACGAUGUGGGAAGGCCCAGACAGCCAGGAUGUUGGCUUAGAAGCAGCCAUCAUUUAAAGAAAGCGUAAUAGCUCACUGGUCGAGUCGGCCUGCGCGGAAGAUGUAACGGGGCUAAACCAUGCACCGAAGCUGCGGCAGCGACACUGUGUGUUGUUGGGUAGGGGAGCGUUCUGUAAGCCUGUGAAGGUGUGUCGUGAGGCAUGCUGGAGGUAUCAGAAGUGCGAAUGCUGACAUAAGUAACGAUAAAGCGGGUGAAAAGCCCGCUCGCCGGAAGACCAAGGGUUCCUGUCCAACGUUAAUCGGGGCAGGGUGAGUCGACCCCUAAGGCGAGGCCGAAAGGCGUAGUCGAUGGGAAACGGGUUAAUAUUCCCGUACUUGGUGUUACUGCGAAGGGGGGACGGAGAAGGCUAUGUUGGCCGGGCGACGGUUGUCCCGGUUUAAGCGUGUAGGUGUGUGUUCCAGGUAAAUCCGGUUCACUUUAACACUGAGGCGUGACGACGAGGCACUACGGUGCUGAAGCAACAAAUGCCCUGCUUCCAGGAAAAGCCUCUAAGCAUCAGGUAACAUCAAAUCGUACCCCAAACCGACACAGGUGGUCAGGUAGAGAAUACCAAGGCGCUUGAGAGAACUCGGGUGAAGGAACUAGGCAAAAUGGUGCCGUAACUUCGGGAGAAGGCACGCUGACACGUAGGUGAAGUGAUUUACUCAUGGAGCUGAAGUCAGUCGAAGAUACCAGCUGGCUGCAACUGUUUAUUAAAAACACAGCACUGUGCAAACACGAAAGUGGACGUAUACGGUGUGACGCCUGCCCGGUGCCGGAAGGUUAAUUGAUGGGGUCAGCGCAAGCGAAGCUCCUGAUCGAAGCCCCGGUAAACGGCGGCCGUAACUAUAACGGUCCUAAGGUAGCGAAAUUCCUUGUCGGGUAAGUUCCGACCUGCACGAAUGGCGUAAUGAUGGCCAGGCUGUCUCCACCCGAGACUCAGUGAAAUUGAACUCGCUGUGAAGAUGCAGUGUACCCGCGGCAAGACGGAAAGACCCCGUGAACCUUUACUAUAGCUUGACACUGAACAUUGAGCCUUGAUGUGUAGGAUAGGUGGGAGGCUUUGAAGUGUGGACGCCAGUCUGCAUGGAGCCGACCUUGAAAUACCACCCUUUAAUGUUUGAUGUUCUAACGUGGACCCGUUACCCGGGUUGCGGACAGUGUCUGGUGGGUAGUUUGACUGGGGCGGUCUCCUCCUAAAGAGUAACGGAGGAGCACGAAGGUUGGCUAAUCCUGGUCGGACAUCAGGAGGUUAGUGCAAUGGCAUAAGCCAGCUUGACUGCGAGCGUGACGGCGCGAGCAGGUGCGAAAGCAGGUCAUAGUGAUCCGGUGGUUCUGAAUGGAAGGGCCAUCGCUCAACGGAUAAAAGGUACUCCGGGGAUAACAGGCUGAUACCGCCCAAGAGUUCAUAUCGACGGCGGUGUUUGGCACCUCGAUGUCGGCUCAUCACAUCCUGGGGCUGAAGUAGGUCCCAAGGGUAUGGCUGUUCGCCAUUUAAAGUGGUACGCGAGCUGGGUUUAGAACGUCGUGAGACAGUUCGGUCCCUAUCUGCCGUGGGCGCUGGAGAACUGAGGGGGGCUGCUCCUAGUACGAGAGGACCGGAGUGGACGCAUCACUGGUGUUCGGGUUGUCAUGCCAAUGGCACUGCCCGGUAGCUAAAUGCGGAAGAGAUAAGUGCUGAAAGCAUCUAAGCACGAAACUUGCCCCGAGAUGAGUUCUCCCUGAGACUUAGAGUCUCCUGAAGGAACGUUGAAGACGACGACGUUGAUAGGCCGGGUGUGUAAGCGCAGCGAUGCGUUGAGCUAACCGGUACUAAUGAACCGUGAGGCUUAACCUUACAACGCCGAAG
This 3065-nucleotide ribosomal RNA is filed under the name Salmonella enterica subsp. enterica serovar Enteritidis str. EC20121744. RNAcentral's name for it is "bacterial LSU rRNA". It matches the Rfam family "Bacterial large subunit ribosomal RNA". Lineage: Bacteria; Pseudomonadati; Pseudomonadota; Gammaproteobacteria; Enterobacterales; Enterobacteriaceae. The record is from RNAcentral.